Zea mays is the source of this 1414-nucleotide RNA transcript. RefSeq lists it as uncharacterized. The transcript is spliced from 3 exons. NCBI's taxonomy places the organism in Eukaryota, Viridiplantae, Streptophyta, Magnoliopsida, Poales, Poaceae. The record is from RefSeq and is marked validated.
GGUUACAGAGAGGGGACAGUGGAUGGAGUGGAGCCUGCAUCUCAUACAGGAGAAAGGGGUUCGGAUACAGGAGAACAAGAAGGAGCAGGGGCAGAAAAGUCCUAUGCCAUGAGCAGCAUCCGUGUUUGUUAUGUAUGCGCAAACAGUUCGAAACGAGCGAGCGUAUGGCUGUCUCCGUCCGGUUGUAGCGAAGUCCGACGGCGGGAUCCGAUUGUGGCGAAGUCACGCCCGUGCAGUGCGCCCACAGCAAAAAGCUCCGCGGCGGUCGCGUGACGUCGCGGCAAACGGCAAACAGCGAAUUCACAGCAGCAAACAGUGUGAAUCCUGCAAUCUCCAAACCCAAGCCCGGCGGCGAGAUCCGCGCGGCAGGCGGACGGGGCCGCUCGACCGCCUUCGUGCCGUGCGCGCCUCCCCACCUCUUCCGUUCUCCGCUCCCCGCGCCCGCGAAGGCGAAUUGCUGAAUUGAGGGUGGUGGCUCGUGCUUGAUUUUGAUUUUGGGGGUCGGUUUCAGUUCCAAUUCAUGACGGUGCGGCCGGGGUGGGUGGUGAGGGUGGCGCAUGGCUCGGCGGCGGCGUGGCAGCGCGUGGCGUGCAACCCGGAGACGCUCCCGCCUGACCGCGUCCUCGCGCUCAUCUGCUGCGCGCCACUCCACCUCCUCGCGCGCCUCGCCGCCUUCCUCUGCGUCCCCUUCCUCCCCGGGCCCGCACACACCCCGCUCCGCCUCCACCGCCGCCGCUUCCUCGUCCUCCGCCCCCCGGAGUUUGCGCCGCACCCUUUCGCUUACUCCCCCUCGUCUUCCUCUUCUUCGUCGGAUGAGGAAGAGGACGACGACGAUGGGGACGGCAUCCACGAACACGUCGAUUGAGGUUUGUAGGCCAAAAAGGAAAAAUGGAGAUAACUUUCUCAGAACAUAUCUAUUCAUGUGUUUUUGCUACAAGGUUUUGGGUCAUACCUUUGUGGGAGCACAAUGUGAUCCUGAUAUCCUCUGCGUCUCUAAUUGGUCAUAGCAUGCUAACUUAUGGGAGGUUGCUUGAGGUUAAGGCUCAGAAAAGGAGAAUUUGGGGUUGAGGAGGGAAGAAUGAACAUUGGCAUGUUGUGCUGGAUGCUGAACUGCUCGCCCUUCUAUGAUUCUAUCUCGUAGUUCUCAGGAUAUGGCAUUAUGACGACGCUCAUUAUAAAAAGCCAGGUCAGAAGCUCUGCAAAAAGGAUACCAACGGAUGAAACUGGUUUGAGUUGUCAUUAUUGUUGCUGUUGUUUAAACGAACUACUGAUUUUUUUUUUUAUAUUGAAAAGAAGAAAGUGGAUGAGGUUAAACCUUGGUAAAGAGGAUGGUUGUGUUAGACUUGGCGAGUCAACGUUAAACUUAGUCAUUUUAAUAGUAAUGGAAUCUGAAAGAAAUUCAUUGUGGCGUAAA